Long non-coding RNA from Orcinus orca (killer whale), 8513 nucleotides. RefSeq lists it as uncharacterized. The record is from RefSeq and is a predicted model, not a curated record. NCBI's taxonomy places the organism in Eukaryota, Metazoa, Chordata, Mammalia, Artiodactyla, Delphinidae. The transcript is spliced from 2 exons.
GUGUCUUUGGAUCAUUUCCCUGCGGAGAGGCCAAGGCAGGCCUGAGGGCCCCAGAAGGGGGCUCCCUCCCAGAGGCUGCUCUUAGCCUCCACCACCACCCCCCAGCCACCGUGCUGGCCUGCUCAGCUGGGACACUAGGCAGAGAAACCACAAAUAAUUCAGCUGUUUAGGAGAACAUCAGUCUGGGUUUCCACGGCAACACCCUCUGGAGCCAGCUGUCCCAGCAGCUGACAGCGCAGGGCCAGGCCAGCCCGCAUCUCCAGUUGGAGCAGAGGAAAUGGGUCCACUCUGGCUUCGGAAUCUCCAGGCUGGGGUCCUCCAAGAGGAGGCUGGGCCGGAGGAUCUUGGAAACCCACCGGCCACGGGGUGAGUAGAACGAGGGCCUGGGAGAGGGAAGUCUGAAAUCGCAGAGCAACCCCACCCCCCGUCAUUACACAUCACAUCGGCCGCCUUUCGGGCGGGCACAUGACACAGGCGUCACCUGUGCCUUCCCAGCUCAGCUUCCGCACCCUGCAAGGUGAGUCCCGCUGCGGCCCCACUGGGCAGGUGGGCAAGCAGGGGCCCAACGGGAAUCCGUGGCUCGCCUCUGGUUCCAGAUCCUGUUUCUGCUCAUGUCUCGAUCUGUGGCUGCCGGCUCCCUCUCACCUGGCUCCCAGAGUGUGGGUCCCCCAGGGGCCUCUGCCUGGCCAGCCUCUAAAGGAGCAGAGGAUGGGCUGCUGCCCCCAGGGACCCCUGGGGAUAACAGGAGCUGGUGUCUCCUGAGGGCUUGCUGUGCGAUGCCCGGUUCGUGGUGCUUUUUAUGCCCUGUCUCUUUCCUUCUCUGAGAGGGGAUGUGCUCUUCUUACCUAUCCUGCUUAGGAGAAAAGGGGGGCUCAAGGAGGGGAAGGGGGUUGUCCAGAGUCACACAGCUCCUAAGUGGUGGGGCCUCGGUGAGACAGGCAGGGACCUGGGACCCUUGGCUGUGGUGCUGCCGUGCUGGCACCUGGACAAACGUCUCCUUGAGCAACAAAAUACAAAGAAACUAUAAGGGACUAAAAAUAACUGCAUGCAUGCGCAGUUGGGGCAAAUUAUGGACAAGAAGAUACAAAAAGACCAAAAACCCGACUGCCACUCGGGGUGUCGUUAGCAAAGCAGGGCACUGCGCGUGCCCGCUGCACACAGCACCACCAGAGGGCUGGGCGAACCCCCUAAGUCACCCCAGGACACACCCCCUACCCGCCCCCCAUAGAAGGAACGAGCUGCCCCCCCUCGGGAAGUGAGCGAGGGAACCUGUUACUUGUUCUCACUCCCUCCUGCUGCACCAGGGGCCCCAGUACAGCCUUGCCUGAAUCUCUUGUCUGGCCUCUGAUCCAUUUCUAUUGAUUAAGGGGGCCAAGAGCCCUGGUCGGUAACACAGGUGUGAGCCAGACUGACUCAGAACACGUACCAAAGAUGCCCUCAUGGUGGCCCUGUGGACACUGGUGUGACUCACGCCUCCAGGAGCCCCUUCAAUCCUGAGAUGCCCAAACUGUCCACAGGCCCUACCCCAGGACAGAGCAGAACUUUAGGGGACGCAGCGUCUCAACCACUCCGGAGCCUGGGAGCAGGCCCUGCAGACUGCCCUUGGGGCCCCCGAGGUCAGGUAAGUCCUGAGCUGGGGGCCCGGGCAGGUGCACAGAAACUGCAGUGAGCUGCUGCUAUCCAGGACCUCACCAUCUAGGGUAGGAAAGAGGUGUGCACAGCAGCCACAGAGCCACAAACCAUGUCAUCUGUGUGACCCUGAGAGCUUUUAGUGGCAACGAGGAUGGUUCCUGGAGGAGGGGCUCGAGGGCUGGAAGCAGUGUGGAGCCUGAGAUGUAUAGAGACUGAGGAGUCUGGGAGGCCAGGGAGACCAGGCAGACCACAGCCAGCGGGAAAUGCAGUUCUGCUGACUAGGCACGGGAAGUGGCCAACCUGCGGGUGGCUGACGGGCGGGACCAGAGCGGGCACAAUGCAAUGUAACUUUUAGUCGGUGAGGAAAACACGGGGGAGACACAUAAGACAAAACAGAGGUAGAGUUAGUGGUCAAGAUAUAUGUCAUGAGGUCCUCUGUAUGUGCUGCUGGCUACAGUGGCAAAUUUGAUUCUGAGCUCCCUGGCAGCCAAUGCAAAAAGGGAAGACCAUUCUGCCAUUCAGUCAACGAGACAUGCAGGAUAAAACAGACAAGCUGCUUGGGAGAUGCUGGACUACAGCUACUUGUGAAAAAGAAGAGGAGUUUCUUGUCAAGAUUGACUUGAUGAUGCCUGCAGGCAUAGCAGCGGGACAACAUCCCUGCACAAGGUGAUGUCUUGAAGUAUCCCUGGGGAUAGUAGUAUGGCUAAGACCUCCUGCAAGGGAUAAGCCUGGGAAGACAGGCAGGCAGCAGUCUCCUGGCCAGGCUUCUUCAAGCUGUGUUUGAGCACAGCUUCUCAGCAGGAGUAGGGCAUAGCUAAAUGCAAACCUUGCAACCCCCAUACCCACAAGGUUCUACAAAGCCCCUGCCCCCCUUGCAGAUGGGACCCAACCGCAGUGCUCAGGUGCGCCAUGAGUGGGUGGGAGGCACUGCCUUGGAACCUGCCCUUUACACUUGGCUGCACUCUUGAAUCACCUACAAGUUUGCAAGACCCGUCUCUGGAUCCACCCCCAGUUCUGCUGGGAUCCUGGAGCAUAUGCCCCAAACAUCCAUAUUUUCGAUCUUGUGGGCCACACGUGGUCCCUGACUACUCAACUCUGCCUUUGUUGGAAGGAGCUGUAGACGCAGGGGCGUGCCAGUGUUCCCAUCCCUGCACACUGAACUGGGAAUUCUCUGUAGCUGUCGUGUGUCACAAACGAUUCUUCUUCUUUUGAUGUUUUUUUAAUUGAAUGUUUUUCAAGCAUUAAAAAUUAUUUAACUAACCAUCUUCACUCACAGCUGUGCAAAAACAAGCAGCCGAUUUGAUCCAGGAACUGUAGUUUGCUAACUCCUGAUUGAGAAUGAAACACCCCUGUACACUAAAGAAGGUGAGCGUUUGCCGAAAGGGAAACAGCAAGCUUUAGUUCACGUUUGCUUUUGUUUUUGUAAUCUUUGGCAAACAAUUGCGUUAAGUCUCCCUGUUGUUCUGACUUGCAUUUUUUUAAAAAAAUUUAUUUUAUUUAUUCAACUAUGGUUGAUUUAUAAUAUUGUGUUAGUUUCAGGUGUACAGCUUCAGAUUUUUUUCCAUUCUAGGUUAUUACAAGAUACUGAAUAUAGUUCCCUAUGCGAUACAGUAAAUCCUUGUUUUUUAUCUAUUUUGUGUAUAGUGGUGUGCAUCCGUUAAUCCCGUACUUCUAAUUCAUCCCUCCCCACUUCCCCUUUGGUAACCAGAAGUUUGUUUUCUAUGUCUGUGAGUCUAUUUCUGUUUUGUAAAUAAGUUGAUUUGUAGGGUUUUUUUUAGAUUCCACAUAUAAGUGAUAUCAUAGGAUAUUCGUCUUGUUCUGUCUGACUUCACUUAGUAUGAUAAUUUCUAGGUCCAUCCAUGUUGCCGCUGAUUUGCAUUUUUUUUCAUGGUGAUGGUCUAUGGUGGGGUUGUUCACACAUGGUGGGUUUGUCCUCCUGGGCUCAGGGAGGGCUUGUACUUCCCAUGGAUGCAAUCCUGAGAGCCAGGGUCUCUAUACCCUUCCUCUGCCACCCUUUCCCCCAGUGAUCUUGACAAUGAGCAGAGACCCUGCUGCUUUCCACUUGACAGGUAGCAUGAGCAAGAAAUAAACUUUUAUAGUUUUAAGCCCCUGAAAUUUUGGGGAUGUUUGUUAUGACGGCAUAACCCAGACUAUGCAUCUGUUAGCAGCCUGUAUUUAUUUUUUCAACAGUUUUUUUCACGUCCCUGGUAAUUUUCUAUUGACUUAUAUUAUUUUGCUAUAUUCAUUUUUCAGAGCUGCGGAUGUGUCAAAAAUAUUAACCCUUCUAGUGAUGUGAUUAUUUGGUUACCAGCUGGAAAUCUCCUUAAAAGGCGAUUGGCCCUAGGAUUUAACUGCUGUCAGGAAGAAGGACAGAGAUCCAAUGUUUCUGCAACUGGAAUCAUCAUUUUUAGCAUACUUCUUUCGACGUGUCACUAACUGAGCGUUAACAAAUCUGUUUCAACUUGCUUGAUUACCUGUGGGUACCUGUUUCAACCACUUUAUCUCGGCAGGCUCACGGGGCAGUUUCAGUGUUCAAAGCUGGAUCUUGUACUUGCACUGGCCCAGAGAUUGUUUUAAGAAAUGAUUUUUUUUAAAUAAUUGGGCUUGGCAGGAAGGAUGACAGCAGCUUUUCUCAGAACACAGCUCCAUGAAACCAGUUCCUGAAAAACACGGCAUCUGGGAGGCAGAGUUUUAUGCCCAGAGAAUCAGGGGAGAUCUGCACGUGCCUUUGUGAAAAUGGUGUUGCAGAAUCAUCCCUGGCCCUGAGUGGGGGUGGCUGCUCAAGGCCGGUAACACCAGCUCCUUAACCUCUUUGCCCAGGGAACGCUCUCUGCCAGCAAAGCCGUGAAAUAAGUGUGUGGAACAACGGCUUUGGGAGAAGUUCACCUGAAGAGUGAAAUUCGGGGUCUCAUCGCCCAUUUAACCAGGGCUUGGAGCAGAGCCUGAAUUAUUUUUAGAGGACCCCCCUGGCCGUUGGCUAACCCCCUUUCCAAGAUGGGUUGCCUUCCUUUUAGCCUUGAGGCUUAUGGGGCUGCCCUCCCUCCCCACCAUCCCCUGGGACUGGGUUCCACGGGAAAGCCACCCCAAUUCUCUGCUGCUGGACACUUGCUAAACUCUGAGUCCCGGGCUUUGCACGGAGGACAGGUAAUCCAGCUUACCUGGAGCCAAGGUUCUAAACCUGGCUGCAUGGGAGAAUCACCUGGGAGCUUUGAAAAUUCCUCAGGCCUGGACCGCACCCAGAGCAGAUUAGAUCUAGACCCUCAUGGGGCCGACACCUCAGGCCUGGGAAGGUUCUGGGUGGCCAGAUCCCCGAGUGGGACCAAGCUUGGCCAGAACGGCUGGAGCCUGGUGGGGAAGGGAAGGAGGGAGGUGGUGUGGCCAGCGGGCAGACCACCAGAAGGGGCUUUAGCUGCUUGAAAGGUGAUGCCGCUGGUGCCCGCUCUCUGUGUACACGUCCCCGGGCUGUGCUUUGUUUCAAGAUGGUGAUGGGAGUGCCUGGCCAGCGUUGGCUGCCCUUAAACUCUGACAUACACAAGCCACCCCCAGCCCUGCUCCUACCCCACUGCAAGAACCUGUGUGCCACAGGGAUACGGAGACACUCCUGCCCCCCGGACACCAUGGACCCUGAGUGACUGUUCAUGAGAGCCACCCUCAGGGAGGACAGGUGGGCUGCUCCCUGAUAGAGGAAGAAAGUUCUAGAACACGUGAGGCUGGCGACAAGAAUUCCAGGCUGAGGGGAACAUAUGAACCAAAAACAUGAUCUCUGGAGGCAGAACUCACAGACCAGGGAUGGGAACAGGGACUUUUGGAGUGACGGGAGCCCGGAGGGUAUGAAGGCUUGAAGGGGGAGAUAAGGCUGGGAAAUAAACUGGGGACCCAUGGAAGCCCCUCCAGACUUGGGGAGGGGCUGCAGCGUGAAGGCGUUUGUUUGGUGAAUUCACUGUGACCGGGCUGGGGCCAUGCAGAACAGCAAUAAUAAUAAUAAAGUGUUUCCUGAGUGGUCCAGGCUGGCCGCUCAACGAGUUCCAAGCCUUGACUGCCUCUGAUCCUGUCGCAGCCCUGUGAGGUGGGUGCAGUUAUCACCUCCACUUUAUAGGUGGAGUAACUGGGGCUCCAGCAAGACCACAGGGCAGUCAUUAGCAGAGGCUAGAUUUUAUUUUCCAUCAGAUACCCAGGAAGAAAACCAGGAAACACAGUGGUGGCUGCCCUGUGUGUGUCUGAGAGGCCAGGGGGCCAGGGUGGGGGGACACCGAAGAGUGGCAGAAAUGUAGCACAGUGGGUCGAGCUUCGGGGAAUAAACAGCUGUGCCGACAGGAAUACCGACCCACAUCGCUGAUCCAAGUUCCGAAAUCCAGGAAGCUCUGAAUCCCAGAGUUCCCUCAUGCGGUUCUUGGCAUCAAAAAUUGACCUGCAAUUUUCGGCAACAAAACUUCACCUGGCCGGUCAAAUCUUUGUCUCUUUCGAGGCCGAGGUAAAGCCCAGCGGGCCUUCCUGAUCGCGCCAUCUAGGACACGCUAAGCUGGACAAAGUUCCCUCAGUCGCCCCCCUACCCACCGAGACCCCCCCCCCGCCGGGCCCAGGAUGGAGCUGCAAGCACCCCUGUGUCUCUGCUCCCCUUUCUCUAAUUGAAGGGGUGGGCAGGCCUCGCCUUUCUCAUUCUCCGUGGCAUGUGCCUGCUUCUCGGGGUGGAGAUCAGAGCCUUUUGGAGCCUUGAUUCCCACGGGUGGGGGCCCGGGCAGCAUCCCUGCGCCCGCCCGCCCGCCCGCCGUCCAGGCGGCCCGAGCCGGCCGAGGGCUCAGCGUCUGCCUACUCACACCCCGGGGUGGGGAGGGAUUUCCAUGGGGCUUAUGGUGAUUUAUAAUGGGGAACCUCCGCUUUCCCCCGACAUUGUUCUCCCUGACAGAGGGAAGAAAGAAGGCAGUAAAUCUCCUCUCAUCAUAAGUGAUGAUGAAGCCGCCGCUCCGGCCCCGUCCGCGAUGCCCUCAACCGCGACAAACUGCUCUAUUGUCAUCUAUUACAUUUUUCUCAAAAAACCUUCAGCCGCGCACAAGGCCGGAGCCAUAUCCUUAACUGGCUCUUCCUCAUUGUCCGCGCCCGAGGGAAACAGAAUGUGUCAGUCUGAGUAAUGCUCUGUCAAUACUUCUCAGGAGGCUGCUCGAGCUGCGGCCCGGAUAAAGCCGUCCCCACGCUUUCUCAGGCCCCUCGGCCGGGAUGAAAGCUGCCCGCGUCGGAUGGCCAGGGCGCCACCACGCCACCUGCCCCACGGGGACACUUGGCCGGCCGGGCUGGUGGCCGUCCCCUCCUCCCCAAGUCGGUCUGGGGGCUACCAGGGGGGCUGGAGGGCUGGGGCAGGGUGGGCACCGGGGCGGGUUGGGGGAGGGAUGCUGGAGGGGCAAGCGGGGUCUCCUUAGGCACUGUCAGCAAUCAGAUGGGGCUCUGCCCUGCCAGGCCCGGGACAGACAAGUGGCAACUCCCAUAGGUCUGAAUCCUACAGCCCUUUACUUGGAAGUGCAUAGUUAGCAAAGCCCAGUCCAGCUGAUUACGUUGUUCUGGUGUCCAUUCACCACUCACUCGUCCAUCCCUUCCCUCGCAAUUCAUUCAUUGCCCCUUUGCCCGGUGCUUUAAUGGGUGGGUAAGGGGGUGCUACUACCUGUGGCUUCCAGGGGGUUGGGGGAGGGGAGUCUGCCAGCAGCUUGGCUCCCACCUGACACAGCCCUCACAGCACGACUGGCUACGUAGCCGGAGGGGCCGAAGCAAAAUGAAAAUGCAGCCCCAGUUCCAAAACGAUGACCAAUUCUAGACGGGACAGCUCGGCACGGCACCCGGCACGGAGCCCUUGGGACAGCUGCCCCGUGCGAUCACAUGGUUGCUGGCCGGCGAGGCUGCCCUGUUCUCGGGGACCUGGGCCGGAGGAAAGCAUGGAUCCCAGAGCAUCACAGGCCUGCCCCUGCCUGGCCAGUGAGGCUGGACUCACACACUCGUAUGUGAGCCUGCUGGGAAACUGGGGGUCAACCAGACAGCCCAAAGCCCCGGCCCCGCGCCAGUAUACUUCGCCUGGUCUGAGCGGUCACCUGCUGUCAGCUGUCACCCCCGAUGCUGUCGGCUGUGGCAUUUCGGUCCCUCACCGGUGGCUGCAGAGCCCGCUAGGCAGAGAGGCCUCAGAGAUCACCCCAACUGACCGAGGCCUGGGGCCAGGCUGGCUGCACCCCCGUGAGCCUCACGUCCCAGGAGCAGUGGGCUGGGACGGGGAGGCCCCCGCCUCCCCUGAGGACCCACCUACCGGGAAUCCUCCUCCUGGGGGACCUGGAACCACGACAGAGCCUUUCAGCCAGUGUGGGACCUAAGCCUUGGCACCAGGACAGGGCAUGUUCUUAGAGCUUCAUCCCUGCCCGAAAAAUGGGGUCAGUGAGGCCACGUGCAGGCUGGGAGGUGCUGAGGUGACAGCGCAGAGGUGACAGGGCAGGUGGGAAACCCCCAAACUGCCACCUCCUCCUGGCAAUUCUCUGUAUCCUGUGGUUGACAGGGUACCAACACCCACCACCAUGCCUUUGGUGAUGGGAGACGGCAGCACCUCCCAUCAAGAAGGGGGCGGGUCUCCCACCCCUUAAAUCCGGACCAGCGGUGACUUACUUUGACCAACAGAAUGUGGUGGAAGCAGCAGAGUGCCAACUCUGAGCCCCGGCCCCCAGGGCCCCACUUUCCUGUAUCCCAGGAUACAGAGUGCAGGCUAGCCCACCACCCCUCCGAGUACCCCUCCGAGGUACUCAGAAAGCACUUGCUGAGUUGGACGGGAUGAGAGUGAAAUGAGCUGAAUUGAAUGAACUGAACUGAAUUGAAAUGAACUAAAUUAAUCAAAUAAACAACACUCGAUUGUCUCGCUG